RNAcentral lists this ribosomal RNA (253 nucleotides) under uncultured bacterium. RNAcentral describes it as "partial 16S ribosomal RNA". It matches the Rfam family "Bacterial small subunit ribosomal RNA", at positions 524 to 776 of the family's 1533-position model. The record is from RNAcentral.
UACGUAGGGCGCGAGCGUUGUCCGGAAUUACUGGGCGUAAAGAGCUUGUAGGCGGUUUGUCGCGUUGUUCGUGAAAUCUCACGGCUUAACUGUGAGCGUGCGGGCGAUACGGGCGGACUAGAGUACUGCAGGGGAGACUGGAAUUCCUGGUGUAGCGGUGGAAUGCGCAGAUAUCAGGAGGAACACCGGUGGCGAAGGCGGGUCUCUGGGCAGUAACUGACGCUGAGAAGCGAAAGCGUGGGGAGCGAACAGG